Molecule: unclassified non-coding RNA, 256 nt
Filed under: Nemania abortiva
Lineage: Eukaryota; Fungi; Ascomycota; Sordariomycetes; Xylariales; Xylariaceae
Description: partial contains 5.8S ribosomal RNA, internal transcribed spacer 2, and large subunit ribosomal RNA
Source: RNAcentral
CGCACAUUGCGCCCAUUAGUAUUCUAGUGGGCAUGCCUGUUCGAGCGUCAUUUCAACCCUCAAGCCCCCGUUGCUUGGUGUUGGGAGCCUACGGGGUCACCCGUAGCUCCUCAAAGUUAGUGGGCGGAGUCGGUUCACACUCUAGACGUAGUAGAUUUUCACCUCGCCUGUAGUGCUGGACCGGUCCCUUGCCGUAAAACACCUCUAUUUCUAAAAGGUUGACCUCGGAUCAGGUAGGAAUACCCGCUGAACUUAA